This 284-nucleotide ribosomal RNA is filed under the name uncultured bacterium. Its description in RNAcentral is "partial 16S ribosomal RNA". RNAcentral also lists the same sequence under 2 other names. The record is from RNAcentral.
GGACUACCAGGGUAUCUAAUCCCGUUCGCUCCCCUGGCUUUCGUGCCUCAGCGUCAGAUAAGACCCAGUGAGCCGCUUUCGCCACCGGUGUUCCUUAGGAUAUCAACGCAUUUCACCGCUCCACCCUAAGUUCCGCUCACCUCUGUCUUCCUCGAGCACGGUAGUUUUGGGCGCAAUUCCUCGGUUAAGCCGAGGUAUUUCACACCCAACUUUCCGCACAGCCUACGCACCCUUUAAGCCCAGUAAUUCCGAAUAACGUUCGUGUGGCUCGUCUUACCGCGGCU